Ictalurus punctatus (channel catfish) is the source of this 1418-nucleotide long non-coding RNA. The record is from Ensembl. NCBI's taxonomy places the organism in Eukaryota, Metazoa, Chordata, Actinopteri, Siluriformes, Ictaluridae.
GAAGUAGUAAUAGAGGUAGUAGUAGUAGUGGUAGAAGUAGUAAUAGUAGUAAUAGUGGUGGUAGUAGUAGUAAUAGUAGUAGUUUAUAAUAUUAGACGUAGUAGUGGUAGAAGUAGUAAUAGUAAGUAGUAGUAGUGCAGUAGUAGUAGUAGAGGUAUUAGUAAUAGUAGUAGUAGCUGUGGUAGUAGUAGUAGUAGCAGCAGCAGUAGUAAUAGUAGUGGUAGUAGCAGUAGUAAUAGUAGUGGUAGUCGUAGUAGUGGUAGUAGUAGCAGUAGUAAUAGUUGUAGUAGUAGCAGUAGUAAUAGUAGUGGUAGUAGCAGUAGUAGUGGUAGUAGCGGUAGCAGUAGUAAUAGUAGUGGUAGUAGUAGCAGUAGUAGUGGUAGUAGUAGCAGUAGUAGUGGUAGUAGUAGUAGGAGUAGUAGGAGUAGAAGUGGUGGUAGUAGUAGUAGUGGUAGUAGCGGUAGCAGUAGUAAUAGUAGUGGUAGUAGUAGUAGGAGUAGUAGGAGUAGUGGUGGUGGUAGUAGUAGUAAUAGUAAUGGUAGUAGCGGUAGUAGUAGCAGUAGUAGUGUAGUAGCAGUAGUGAUAGUAAUAGUAGUGGUGGUAGUAGUAGUAGUAGUAGUAGUAGUGUAGUAGCAGUAGUGAUAGUAAUAGUAGUGGUGGUAGUAGUAGUAGUAGUGUAGUAGCAGUAGUAGUAGUGGUGGUGGUGGUAUUAGUAGCAGUAGUAGUGUAAUAGCAGUAGUAGUGGUAUUAGUAAUAGUAAUAGUAGUAGCAGUAGUACUAAUAGUAGUGUAGUAGUAGUAGCAGUAGUACUAAUAGUAGUGGUUGUAGUAGCAGUAGUAGUUGUAGUGGUGGUAGUAGCAGUAGUAGUAGUGGUGGUAUUGGUAAUAGAAGUAGUAGUGUAGUAGCAGUAGUAGUAGUAAUAGUAGUGGUAGUAGUAGUAGCAGUAGUACUAAUAGUAGUGGUGGUAGUUGUAGUAGUGGUAGUAGUAGUGUAGUAGUAGUUGUAGUGGUAUUGGUAAUAGAAGUAGUAGUGUAGUAGCAGUAGUAGUAGCAGUAGUACUAAUAGUAGUGGUGGUAGUAGCAGUAGUAGUAGUAAUAGUAGUGGUAGUAGUAGUAGCAGUAGUACUAAUAGUAGUGGUGGUAGUAGCAGUAGUAGUAGUAAUAGUAGUGGUAGUAGUAGUAGCAGUAGUACUAAUAGUAGUGGUGGUAGUAGUAGUUGUAGUGGUGGUAGUAGCAGUAGUAGUUGUAGUGGUGGUAGUAGCAGUAUAGUAGUAGUAGUAGUAGUAGUGGUAUUGGUAAUAGAAGUAGUAGUGUAGUAGCGGUAGUAGUAGUAAUAGUAGUGGUAGUAGUAGUGUAGUAGCGGUAGUAGUAGUAAUAGUAGUGGUAGUAGUAGUGUAGUAGUAGUUGUAGUAGUGGUAG